This 1437-nucleotide ribosomal RNA is filed under the name uncultured organism. RNAcentral describes it as "partial small subunit ribosomal RNA". It matches the Rfam family "Bacterial small subunit ribosomal RNA". The record is from RNAcentral.
CUGUCGGCGUGCUUAACACAUGCAAGUCGAACGGAAAGGCCCUGCUUUUGUGGGGUGCUCGAGUGGCGAACGGGUGAGUAACACGUGAGUAACCUGCCCUUGACUUUGGGAUAACUUCAGGAAACUGGGGCUAAUACCGGAUAGGAGCUCCUGCUGCAUGGUGGGGGUUGGAAAGUUUCGGCGGUUGGGGAUGGACUCGCGGCUUAUCAGCUUGUUGGUGGGGUAGUGGCUUACCAAGGCUUUGACGGGUAGCCGGCCUGAGAGGGUGACCGGCCACAUUGGGACUGAGAUACGGCCCAGACUCCUACGGGAGGCAGCAGUGGGGAAUAUUGCACAAUGGGCGGAAGCCUGAUGCAGCAACGCCGCGUGCGGGAUGACGGCCUUCGGGUUGUAAACCGCUUUCGCCUGUGACGAAGCGUGAGUGACGGUAAUGGGUAAAGAAGCACCGGCUAACUACGUGCCAGCAGCCGCGGUGAUACGUAGGGUGCGAGCGUUGUCCGGAUUUAUUGGGCGUAAAGGGCUCGUAGGUGGUUGAUCGCGUCGGAAGUGUAAUCUUGGGGCUUAACCCUGAGCGUGCUUUCGAUACGGGUUGACUUGAGGAAGGUAGGGGAGAAUGGAAUUCCUGGUGGAGCGGUGGAAUGCGCAGAUAUCAGGAGGAACACCAGUGGCGAAGGCGGUUCUCUGGGCCUUUCCUGACGCUGAGGAGCGAAAGCGUGGGGAGCGAACAGGCUUAGAUACCCUGGUAGUCCACGCUGUAAACGGUGGGUACUAGGUGUGGGGUCCGUUCCACGGGUUCCGUGCCGUAGCUAACGCUUUAAGUACCCCGCCUGGGGAGUACGGCCGCAAGGCUAAAACUCAAAGGAAUUGACGGGGCCCCGCACAAGCGGCGGAGCAUGCGGAUUAAUUCGAUGCAACGCGUAGAACCUUACCUGGGUUUGACAUGGAUCGGGAGUGCUCAGAGAUGGGUGUGCCUCUUUUGGGGUCGGUUCACAGGUGGUGCAUGGCUGUCGUCAGCUCGUGUCGUGAGAUGUUGGGUUAAGUCCCGCAACGAGCGCAACCCUUGUUCACUGUUGCCAGCACGUUAUGGUGGGGACUCAGUGGAGACCGCCGGGGUCAACUCGGAGGAAGGUGGGGAUGACGUCAAGUCAUCAUGCCCCUUAUGUCCAGGGCUUCACGCAUGCUACAAUGGCUGGUACAGAGAGUGGCGAGCCUGUGAGGGUGAGCGAAUCUCGGAAAGCCGGUCUCAGUUCGGAUUGGGGUCUGCAACUCGACCUCAUGAAGUCGGAGUCGCUAGUAAUCGCAGAUCAGCAACGCUGCGGUGAAUACGUUCCCGGGGCUUGUACACACCGCCCGUCAAGUCAUGAAAGUUGGUAACACCCGAAGCCGGUGGCCUAACCGUUGUGGGGGAGCCGUCGAAGGUGGGACUGGUGAUUAGGA